Long non-coding RNA from Hylaeus anthracinus, 3363 nucleotides. RefSeq lists it as uncharacterized. The record is from RefSeq and is a predicted model, not a curated record. The transcript has 3 exons. NCBI's taxonomy places the organism in Eukaryota, Metazoa, Arthropoda, Insecta, Hymenoptera, Colletidae.
UUAAAAGGAUUUAUGAUAAGGUUAACACAAUUUCUUUAUUUGUUUUACUAAGUUAAUAACAGCGUAAUAUAUAAUAAUUAAACCAUCUGAAAUGGGCAAAUGCUUUUAUGGAAACUUUUGAAAGCAGCUCUUUAAACACUGGACAUCUGUUGCUACGGAGUACAACAGAAAUUCCUGAGAGGUCACCCGCGCGUAAUAAAUCUGGAUUUACGUAAAGUUCUGCGAUAGUAACUUUAGAUGGAAACAGCAAUGUAAAUCCACAAACUAGUACAAGUGAAUGGUGAUUCUAAAAAAUCCUUGAAUUUACUCAUCAAGAUGCCACAGACAAAAUUGUUUAUUGCAAUAAAUUCUUUUUCACGCUAUAAUUAUGAAUGCAAGAUAUUGAAAACGUCUACUGAAUUAUAUUAAUUUAAUAUCAAUCUUUAUCGAAGAUUAUAAAGAAAGUUAUCAAGUUAUCAAGUUAUUUGUUUAAAUAUCUUAUUGCUAAAAAUAAUACUGCUCAGAAUGGAGAUGACUGGUUAAAAAUACAAAUAAUCAUUCAUGUGGUAAAAAAAUACGAAAUUACUUUCGAAAAGUACCAAUAAUAUUAUUACUAUAACAUUCAGGAAGGGAAUGAGAAAGUUACAGCGAGACUGGCAAUAAAUCAUGUUAAGUUCCAGGUGAGUUCAAGAAGACUUACGGUACAACGUAAACUUGUUAGAACGAAAUAUAUGAAGGUGUAAGGGACGAAAGCAGUUGUGGGGCUAGCGGAAUAGCAGUGGACCGAUAACCGCAAAUGAGAAUGGUACAGGAAACUACGCUGUUCCACGCUUCCCUGGUGACCGAUGAGGCCAAUUCUGCGAACCACAUUUGCUUCAUUUGAAGCUGUUGUUCUAAACUUUUCUGUUAAUUGAAACGAAGAAAUUGGAAUACUCCUAGCGGUUAUUUUAAGUUUCUGGCCAGUUUAAGCCGCGCAAAAACUAUAGCUGCACCGUGGCGCGAGUAUUCCGGGAAAUCGAGGGCCUGUGGAUUAUAUACGUCUACGGUAUGUACAAGUUACUCACAUCUAAGUACAAACGUUAUCAUUUCUGAGAGUAACGAAGACGCGGGGGAGCGUCACCAAGGGAAUUACUGAAUGGAGCAGUGAUGCUCGAUCCUUUCGAGGGGAAUGAUCCUAGGAAAAAGAGUACGAUGUGGGAUUUAAGCUGGAGAUCUUCGGAAGUUGGGAUUUGCUGGCUGACCACUUUACAACUGCGCCAUCACCGACCCUCCAAUAUCUUGGUCUUCCAGACUUCUUUCUUCUCUCUUGGUGCCUCGAUCCAAUAUUAUAAAGAGCAAUAAAUGAGAACGAUUUUCCUUUGCUCUUUAGAUGCUUUUAAAAGCAGAAAUUUUAUUUCAUCUAACUCAAUGUUUUAGAUACCGAUCAGAAAACGUAACAAUAUUUCUAGUAUUAAUAAAACGUCACAAACUUCUAAUUCAGUAAUAAUGAAAACCAAAGGGAUUUUUAAAUAUUCAUAUUUAAAUAUUAAUUUUAAAUGAAACUAUUAAAUGAAAAAAUCACAAAUCUUAAUUAAUUUGAUUAAAAUCGUCAAAUCCGUUGAAUUCUGCAUCGUCUUCAGUAAUUGGUAAUGCCUCCUAAAACUCAUAGCAACCUCCAUCUUUUAAGGAGCAAAAUUAACAAUUAAUCUUGUUCUUUGAGAGCCUUGACGAGUAUUUUUCUUAUAUAAAAGUUAGCUAUAAUACUUGUUAUUCUGCAUCGUCUUCAGUAAUUGGUAAUGCCUCCUAAAACUCAUAGCAACCUCCAUCUUUUAAGGAGCAAAAUUAACAAUUAAUCUUGUUCUUUGAGAGCUUUGUCGAGUAUUUUUCUUGUAUAAAAGUUAGCUAUAAUACUUGUACUUUCAACCUUUGAUCUUUCUCUCUUUCUCCUUCUUACAACAAGGGUUUGAAAUAGAGCCUUGUCAUCAAGAGUAUUUAAAUUCAGUAACAUCAAAGAGAUUGUAGAUGAAAGUAAUUAUCUCUACAUAUGUAUAAUAAAAAUUGGGUAUUUUUAUGCGUUGCAAGAAGACGUACUUGAUGUACCAAUAAUAUUAUUUUUGCUAUCUUCUGUAUCUAUAUUUAUACUAAUUUCGACAUCGCGUGAAUGUAACCCUUGCUAUGAAAUAACUGCUAAUUGCCUGUUGAAAGAGAUCUCAAUUGUCGUGGUUCGUAAAAGGAAAACCAUAAAUUAUGCUCAGCAUUCUCCAGAAUUAUAUUCUUGAUAACGUCAGACAAAACUUAUGCUUCGGUUGUAUCGUUAAUCUUCUAGCCACAGUACUUAUUCGUGUUGGGCGCAUAAUCUACUCCUAAUCUACAAUAUUCUCAAUGUCCGAAUGAGCUUGUUGCAUCUAUUACAGAUCCGUAUCAAAAGGCAAUAUUUUAUCGUAUAUUCACAGUCGUUGCGUAUCUUGAUGACCAAAGUUCACGAAGAUACGUGAACAGAAAGAAUAAAAUCAUGAAGCUAAUUAGAGAAAUAAUUUAUUUUUUGCUCACGUGUACUGUUUCAUUUUGUACUUUUCUCGGAAAAACGGUGGAGGUAAAUUAAAAUAUUUUGGAAGUAUACAUAUACAAAUCAUGUAUGUACACUCAGAUCUGGGCACUUUUGAAAAAAUAUUAUUCGAAAUAUUAUUUCAAGUUACGUAUUAUUUUUGCUUUAUAAUUACUUGAAAUAACUGUGAUAUUUAAAAAUGAUUUCAGGUGAAAUAAUUACCCAAAUUCAACAAGAAAUAAAAAUAAAUAUAAUAAGUAAUUAAAUUUCUCGUUUAUUUUAUUUGAAAUGACGUUUGAUAAAACGAGAUUACAGUAUUAUUCGAGCAAGACUCUUUCACAGGGAGGGAAUUAACUUAACAAAAUACAUUUUCUAUAAUAUAUUUUACAUUAUAAACCAACCAUACAUCAUCAUAAUAAUAUCUUAUAUUCUUAAGCCUAAGCGUGUUUUAACCUAUAUUCUCGUUUAUAUACUUCCUUCGUAUUUAUACUUUGUUUAUUUCUUCAUAUUAUUUAUAUUUAUAUAUAUAUAUUUUUGUUUUUAUUUAUAUUCAUCAUUAUUUAUAAUAUAUUUUAUAUGCUAUGUUAUGUAUAUAUAUAAUAUCAUACAUAUUUAUUUUUCACGCACAUCCCAGGGUGUCUCGCGUUUCCAUUUUUUUUUUUUAUAUCGUGUGAGAAUUGUCUUUUGGAGGUAUCUGUCUCCUUUUUCCCCAUUUUCUUCCCUAUGUGCACGUGCACGUGUGCCACUAUAUCUAGGAAAAUGUUGCUUGUGUGAUCCGUGUACAAAGUGUACGUGUACGUGUUCCGCCUUCUCAUACUUUGUGUGUGUGUGUGUGUGUGUGUGUGUGUGUGUGUGUGUGU